This 496-nucleotide ribosomal RNA is filed under the name Scolopocryptops nigridius. RNAcentral describes it as "eukaryotic LSU rRNA". It matches the Rfam family "Eukaryotic large subunit ribosomal RNA", at positions 666 to 946 of the family's 3401-position model. The record is from RNAcentral. Lineage: Eukaryota; Metazoa; Arthropoda; Chilopoda; Scolopendromorpha; Cryptopidae.
CCAAGGAGUCUAACAUGUGUGCGAGUCGUCAGGUCGUUCAAAAAAUGACGAAACCUGAACGGCGCAAUGAAAGUGAAGGCCGACCGUCUCGCUUGCCCCUUCUCUCUCUCGUGGAGGUUGGGGUUGGCAGCGGUGAGCCAAGGCGGGAUCCGAGAAACACAGCCGGGGUGUACAGAAAAUCGACCCGUGCGCCGUAUUCAUUCUCUUUCCGUUUCUUCCCUUCCUCACGGGGGUGGAAGAGCGGGGAGGUUUGGAGGCGUCGGGUGAGCUAACAAAAAUUACGCUCGCACCCCGGUCGGCGCACCGCCGGCCCGUCUCCAUGCCGCAACGUCGGUGAGGCGGAGCCAGAGCGUACACGUUGGGACCCGAAAGAUGGUGAACUAUGCUUGGGCAGGACGAAGCCAGAGGAAACUCUGGUGGAGGUCCGUAGCGAUUCUGACGUGCAAAUCGAUCGUCGGACCUGAGUAUAGGGGCGAAAGACUAAUCGAACCGUCUA